This 2900-nucleotide ribosomal RNA is filed under the name Klebsiella pneumoniae. Its description in RNAcentral is "bacterial LSU rRNA". It matches the Rfam family "Bacterial large subunit ribosomal RNA". The record is from RNAcentral. Lineage: Bacteria; Pseudomonadati; Pseudomonadota; Gammaproteobacteria; Enterobacterales; Enterobacteriaceae.
UUAAGCGACUAAGCGUACACGGUGGAUGCCCUGGCAGUCAGAGGCGAUGAAGGACGUGCUAAUCUGCGAAAAGCGUCGGUAAGGUGAUAUGAACCGUUAUAACCGGCGAUGUCCGAAUGGGGAAACCCAGUGCAAUUCGUUGCACUAUCGUUAACUGAAUACAUAGGUUAACGAGGCGAACCGGGGGAACUGAAACAUCUAAGUACCCCGAGGAAAAGAAAUCAACCGAGAUUCCCCCAGUAGCGGCGAGCGAACGGGGAGCAGCCCAGAGUCUGAAUCAGCUUGUGUGUUAGUGGAACGGUCUGGAAAGUCCGACGGUACAGGGUGAUAGUCCCGUACACCAAAAUGCACAGGCUGUGAACUCGAAGAGUAGGGCGGGACACGUGGUAUCCUGUCUGAAUAUGGGGGGACCAUCCUCCAAGGCUAAAUACUCCUGACUGACCGAUAGUGAACCAGUACCGUGAGGGAAAGGCGAAAAGAACCCCGGCGAGGGGAGUGAAAAAGAACCUGAAACCGUGUACGUACAAGCAGUGGGAGCACCUUCGGGUGUGACUGCGUACCUUUUGUAUAAUGGGUCAGCGACUUAUAUUCUGUAGCAAGGUUAACCGUAUAGGGGAGCCGCAGGGAAACCGAGUCUUAACUGGGCGUUAAGUUGCAGGGUAUAGACCCGAAACCCGGUGAUCUAGCCAUGGGCAGGUUGAAGGUUGGGUAACACUAACUGGAGGACCGAACCGACUAAUGUUGAAAAAUUAGCGGAUGACUUGUGGCUGGGGGUGAAAGGCCAAUCAAACCGGGAGAUAGCUGGUUCUCCCCGAAAGCUAUUUAGGUAGCGCCUCGUGAAUUCAUCUUCGGGGGUAGAGCACUGUUUCGGCUAGGGGGUCAUCCCGACUUACCAACCCGAUGCAAACUACGAAUACCGAAGAAUGUUAUCACGGGAGACACACGGCGGGUGCUAACGUCCGUCGUGAAGAGGGAAACAACCCAGACCGCCAGCUAAGGUCCCAAAGUCAUGGUUAAGUGGGAAACGAUGUGGGAAGGCACAGACAGCCAGGAUGUUGGCUUAGAAGCAGCCAUCAUUUAAAGAAAGCGUAAUAGCUCACUGGUCGAGUCGGCCUGCGCGGAAGAUGUAACGGGGCUAAACCAUGCACCGAAGCUGCGGCAGCGACACUAUGUGUUGUUGGGUAGGGGAGCGUUCUGUAAGCCUGCGAAGGUGUGCUGUGAGGCAUGCUGGAGGUAUCAGAAGUGCGAAUGCUGACAUAAGUAACGAUAAAGCGGGUGAAAAGCCCGCUCGCCGGAAGACCAAGGGUUCCUGUCCAACGUUAAUCGGGGCAGGGUGAGUCGACCCCUAAGGCGAGGCCGAAAGGCGUAGUCGAUGGGAAACAGGUUAAUAUUCCUGUACUUGGUGUUACUGCGAAGGGGGGACGGAGAAGGCUAUGUUAGCCGGGCGACGGUUGUCCCGGUUUAAGCAUGUAGGCUGGUUAUCCAGGCAAAUCCGGAUAAUCAAGGCUGAGGUGUGAUGACGAGGCACUACGGUGCUGAAGUAACAAAUGCCCUGCUUCCAGGAAAAGCCUCUAAGCAUCAGGUAACAUUAAAUCGUACCCCAAACCGACACAGGUGGUCAGGUAGAGAAUACCAAGGCGCUUGAGAGAACUCGGGUGAAGGAACUAGGCAAAAUGGUGCCGUAACUUCGGGAGAAGGCACGCUGGUGUGUAGGUGAAGUCCCUGCGGAUGGAGCUGAGACCAGUCGAAGAUACCAGCUGGCUGCAACUGUUUAUUAAAAACACAGCACUGUGCAAACACGAAAGUGGACGUAUACGGUGUGACGCCUGCCCGGUGCCGGAAGGUUAAUUGAUGGGGUUAUCCGUAAGGAGAAGCUCUUGAUCGAAGCCCCGGUAAACGGCGGCCGUAACUAUAACGGUCCUAAGGUAGCGAAAUUCCUUGUCGGGUAAGUUCCGACCUGCACGAAUGGCGUAAUGAUGGCCAGGCUGUCUCCACCCGAGACUCAGUGAAAUUGAACUCGCUGUGAAGAUGCAGUGUACCCGCGGCAAGACGGAAAGACCCCGUGAACCUUUACUAUAGCUUGACACUGAACAUUGAGCCUUGAUGUGUAGGAUAGGUGGGAGGCUUUGAAGCGUGGACGCCAGUCUGCGUGGAGCCAACCUUGAAAUACCACCCUUUAAUGUUUGAUGUUCUAACGUUGGCCCCUUACCGGGGUUGCGGACAGUGUCUGGUGGGUAGUUUGACUGGGGCGGUCUCCUCCCAAAGCGUAACGGAGGAGCACGAAGGUUAGCUAAUCCUGGUCGGACAUCAGGAGGUUAGUGCAAUGGCAUAAGCUAGCUUGACUGCGAGCGUGACGGCGCGAGCAGGUGCGAAAGCAGGUCAUAGUGAUCCGGUGGUUCUGAAUGGAAGGGCCAUCGCUCAACGGAUAAAAGGUACUCCGGGGAUAACAGGCUGAUACCGCCCAAGAGUUCAUAUCGACGGCGGUGUUUGGCACCUCGAUGUCGGCUCAUCACAUCCUGGGGCUGAAGUAGGUCCCAAGGGUAUGGCUGUUCGCCAUUUAAAGUGGUACGCGAGCUGGGUUUAGAACGUCGUGAGACAGUUCGGUCCCUAUCUGCCGUGGGCGCUGGAGAAUUGAGGGGGGCUGCUCCUAGUACGAGAGGACCGGAGUGGACGCAUCACUGGUGUUCGGGUUGUCAUGCCAAUGGCACUGCCCGGUAGCUAAAUGCGGAAGAGAUAAGUGCUGAAAGCAUCUAAGCACGAAACUUGCCCCGAGAUGAGUUCUCCCUGAGACUUUAAGUCUCCUGAAGGAACGUUAAAGACGAUGACGUUGAUAGGCCGGGUGUGUAAGCGCAGCGAUGCGUUGAGCUAACCGGUACUAAUGAACCGUGAGGCUUAACCUU